Molecule: ribosomal RNA, 922 nt
Filed under: uncultured Bacteroidota bacterium
Lineage: Bacteria; Pseudomonadati; Bacteroidota
Description: bacterial SSU rRNA
Rfam family: Bacterial small subunit ribosomal RNA
Source: RNAcentral
GGAUCCAGACUUUGAUUCUGGCUCAGGAUGAACGCUAGCUACAGGCUUAACACAUGCAAGUCGAGGGGCAGCGGGAUUGAAGCUUGCUUCAGUUGCCGGCGACCGGCGCACGGGUGAGUAACGCGUAUCCAACCUUCCGUACACUCAGGGAUAGCCUUUCGAAAGAAAGAUUAAUACCUGAUGGUAUGAUGAGAUUGCAUGAUAGCAUCAUUAAAGAUUUAUCGGUGUACGAUGGGGAUGCGUUCCAUUAGGUAGUAGGCGGGGUAACGGCCCACCUAGCCAACGAUGGAUAGGGGUUCUGAGAGGAAGGUCCCCCACAUUGGAACUGAGACACGGUCCAAACUCCUACGGGAGGCAGCAGUGAGGAAUAUUGGUCAAUGGACGAGAGUCUGAACCAGCCAAGUAGCGUGAAGGAUGAAGGUCUUACGGAUUGUAAACUUCUUUUAUAUGGGAAUAAACCCUCCCACGUGUGGGAGCUUGUAUGUACCUUAUGAAUAAGCAUCGGCUAACUCCGUGCCAGCAGCCGCGGUAAUACGGAGGAUGCGAGCGUUAUCCGGAUUUAUUGGGUUUAAAGGGAGCGCAGACGGGUCGUUAAGUCAGCUGUGAAAGUUUGGGGCUCAACCUUAAAAUUGCAGUUGAUACUGGCGUCCUUGAGUGCGGUUGAGGUGUGCGGAAUUCGUGGUGUAGCGGUGAAAUGCUUAGAUAUCACGAAGAACUCCGAUUGCGAAGGCAGCACACUAAUCCGUAACUGACGUUCAUGCUCGAAAGUGUGGGUAUCAAACAGGAUUAGAUACCCUGGUAGUCCACACGGUAAACGAUGGAUACUCGCUGUUGGCGAUAUACUGUCAGCGGCUUAGCGAAAGCGUUAAGUAUCCCACCUGGGGAGUACGCCGGCAACGGUGCAACUCAAAGGAAUUGACGG